ACUUUGGUGGUUCUGUGGUAUAAUUCUUGCCUUUCAUGCAGGAGACCUGGGUUCAACUCCCAGCUACUGCA
RNAcentral lists this transfer RNA (71 nucleotides) under Loxodonta africana (African savanna elephant). It matches the Rfam family "tRNA". Rfam says of the family: Transfer RNA (tRNA) molecules are approximately 80 nucleotides in length. The record is from Rfam by way of RNAcentral. Lineage: Eukaryota; Metazoa; Chordata; Mammalia; Proboscidea; Elephantidae.